RNAcentral lists this ribosomal RNA (643 nucleotides) under uncultured Actinomycetes bacterium. RNAcentral describes it as "bacterial SSU rRNA". It matches the Rfam family "Bacterial small subunit ribosomal RNA", at positions 232 to 885 of the family's 1533-position model. The record is from RNAcentral. Lineage: Bacteria; Bacillati; Actinomycetota; Actinomycetes.
CGCGGCCUAUCAGCUUGUUGGUGAGGUAACGGCUCACCAAGGCGACGACGGGUAGCCGGCCUGAGAGGGCGACCGGCCACACUGGGACUGAGACACGGCCCAGACUCCUACGGGAGGCAGCAGUGGGGAAUAUUGCACAAUGGGCGAAAGCCUGAUGCAGCGACGCCGCGUGAGGGAUGACGGCCUUCGGGUUGUAAACCUCUUUCAGCAGGGAAGAAGCGAAAGUGACGGUACCUGCAGAAGAAGCGCCGGCUAACUACGUGCCAGCAGCCGCGGUAAUACGUAGGGCGCGAGCGUUGUCCGGAAUUAUUGGGCGCAAAGAGCUCGUAGGCGGUCUGUCGCGUCGGAUGUGAAAGCCCGGGGCUUAACCCCGGGUCUGCAUUCGAUACGGGCAGACUAGAGUGUGGUAGGGGAGAUCGGAAUUCCUGGUGUAGCGGUGAAAUGCGCAGAUAUCAGGAGGAACACCGGUGGCGAAGGCGGAUCUCUGGGCCAUUACUGACGCUGAGGAGCGAAAGCGUGGGGAGCGAACAGGAUUAGAUACCCUGGUAGUCCACGCCGUAAACGGUGGGAACUAGGUGUUGGCGACAUUCCACGUCGUCGGUGCCGCAGCUAACGCAUUAAGUUCCCCGCCUGGGGAGUACGG